This 444-nucleotide ribosomal RNA is filed under the name uncultured archaeon. Its description in RNAcentral is "bacterial SSU rRNA". It matches the Rfam family "Archaeal small subunit ribosomal RNA", at positions 1 to 450 of the family's 1478-position model. The record is from RNAcentral.
UUCCGGUUGAUCCCGCCGGAAGCCACUGCUAUUGGGGUCCGAUUAAGCCAUGCAAGUCGAACGUUCUUCGGAACGUGGCAAACGGCUCAGUAACACGUGGAUAACCUACCCUUAGGACCGGGAUAACCCUGGGAAACUGNGGAUAAUACCGGAUAUAUGGAGAUACCUGGAAUGGUUCUCCACUUAAAGCUCCGGCGCCUAAGGAUGGAUCUGCGGCAGAUUAGGUAGUUGGUGGGGUAAUGGCCCACCAAGCCUUUGAUCUGUACGGGUUGUGAGAGCAAGAGCCCGGAGAUGGAACCUGAGACAAGGUUCCAGGCCCUACGGGGCGCACAGGCGCGAAACCUCCGCAAUGCGAACAAUCGCGACGGGGGGACCCCAAGUGCCACUCUUAACGGGGUGGCUUUUCUUAAGUGUAAAAAGCUUUUGGAAUAAGGGCUGGGCAAG